UCCACUGUCAUUGGGGAGUAGCCGCCCUUCUUCACUGAGAGGGGUUUGCGUCAACAGACUUGUCUGGCCUUGCAACAGGGUCGGCAUGGCGCAAACAGUUUUUCAAGCCUGGCGAGACCUUUGACUGCACAGCCUCCAGAACUUUAAAAAGCU
This 153-nucleotide small RNA is filed under the name Polaromonas naphthalenivorans. Its description in RNAcentral is "Manganese sequence". It matches the Rfam family "Manganese Mn2+ riboswitch aptamer (yybP-ykoY)". From Rfam's summary of the family: This RNA was originally discovered in E. coli during a large scale screen and was named SraF. The record is from RNAcentral. Lineage: Bacteria; Pseudomonadati; Pseudomonadota; Betaproteobacteria; Burkholderiales; Comamonadaceae.